This 88-nucleotide non-coding RNA is filed under the name Providencia alcalifaciens. Lineage: Bacteria; Pseudomonadati; Pseudomonadota; Gammaproteobacteria; Enterobacterales; Morganellaceae. The record is from RNAcentral.
AUCUAUGGUGGCGGCAGCAGAGCAACCGCAAGGUUGGCUGGUCUCCUUUACUACCAGUAACGCCAACUCUACUGUCGUCACCACCCCC